This 424-nucleotide ribosomal RNA is filed under the name uncultured bacterium. RNAcentral's name for it is "partial 16S ribosomal RNA". It matches the Rfam family "Bacterial small subunit ribosomal RNA", at positions 354 to 796 of the family's 1533-position model. The record is from RNAcentral.
GUGAGGAAUAUUGGACAAUGGAGGAAACUCUGAUCCAGCCAUGCCGCGUGAGUGAUGAAGGCCUUCGGGUUGUAAAGCUCUUUCGGGUGUGAAAAUGAUGAUGGUAACACCAGAAGAAGCCCCGGCUAACUCCGUGCCAGCAGCCGCGGUAAUACGGAGGGGGCGAGCGUUGUUCGGAAUCACUGGGCGUAAAGCGUGCGUAGGCGGUUAUACAAGUCAGGAGUGAAAUCCCAGGGCUCAACCUUGGAAUUGCUUUUGAGACUGUAUGACUAGAGAUCUAGAGAGGUUGGGGGAAUUCCGAGUGUAGAGGUGAAAUUCGCAGAUAUUCGGAGGAACACCAGUGGCGUAGGCGCCCAACUGGCUAGAUACUGACGCGGAGGCACGAAAGCGUGGGGAGCAAACAGGAUUAGAAACCCGGUAGUCC